UUAGGGGCGGAGUCUUACUCCCUCCAUCUUACCUGUGAUGACGUAGCUCUGUUUCCUGUCCUGGGACCCAAAGGGGCGGAGUUAGUUUUUUCUCUCUAGAAAACUAGGUUCAACUCUUCAUCAGGCCUUUAGUUGAGUCUAGGUUCAGCUAAUCAACUCUUCAUCACAGCUUCAGUUGAGUCUAGGUUCAACUCUUCAUCACGCCUUUAGUUGAGUCUCGGUUCAACUCUUCAUCACAGCUUUAGUUGAGUCUAGGUUCAACUCUUCAUCAGGUCUUUAGUUGAAUCUAGGUUCAACUCUUCAUCACGUCUUUAGUUGAAUCUAGGUUCAACUCUUCAUCAGGUCUUUAGUUGAAUCUAGGUUCAACUCUUCAUCACGUCUUUAGUUGAGUCUAGGUUCAACUCUUCAUCAGGCCUUUAGUUGAAUCUAGGUUCAACUCUUCAUCAGGUCUUUAGUUGAGUCUAGGUUCAACUCUUCAUCAGGCCUUUAGUUGAGUCUAGGUUCAACUCUUCAUCAGGCCUUUAGUUGAGUCUAGGUUCAACUCUUCAUCAGGUCUUUAGUUGAGUCUAGGUUCAACUCUUCAUCAGGUCUUUAGUUGAGUCUAGGUUCAACUCUUCAUCAGGCCUUUAGUUGAGUCUAGGUUCAACUCUUCAUCAGGCCUUUAGUUGAGUCUAGGUUCAACUCUUCAUCAGGUCUUUAGUUGAGUCUAGGUUCAACUCUUCAUCAGGCCUUUAGUUGAGUCUAGGUUCAACUCUUCAUCAGGUCUUUAGUUGAAUCUAGGUUCAACUCUUCAUCAGGUCUUUAGUUGUGUCUAGUGUGUUAGUACUGGGGGUCCCCAGGAUUGGGGAAAUGGACGUAGCUCCUUCUAUCAACAAUGGUGCCUUGGAUA
Long non-coding RNA from Oncorhynchus keta (chum salmon), 889 nucleotides. RefSeq lists it as uncharacterized. The record is from RefSeq and is a predicted model, not a curated record. The transcript is spliced from 3 exons. Lineage: Eukaryota; Metazoa; Chordata; Actinopteri; Salmoniformes; Salmonidae.